CCUACGGGUGGCAGCAGUGGGGAAUAUUGGGCAAUGGGCGCAAGCCUGACGCAGCAACGCCGCGUGAAGGAAGAAGGCUUUCGGGUUGUAAACUUCUUUUCUCAGGGACGAAGCCAGUGACGGUACCUGAGGAAGUAGCCACGGCUAACUACGUGCCAGCAGCCGCGGUAAUACGUAGGUGGCAAGCGUUAACCGGAUUUACUGGGUGUAAAGGGCGUGUAGGCGGGAAAGCAAGUGAGCUGUGAAAGCCAUGGGCUCAACCUGUGGCCUGCAUUUGAUACUGGUUCGCUAGAGUACUGGAGGGGCAGACGGAAUUCCACGUGUAGCGGUGAAAUGCGUAGAGAUGAGGAGGAAUACCGGAGGCGAAGGCAGUCUGUUGGAAAGCUACUGACGCUGAGGUGCGAAAGCGUGGGGAGCAAACAGGAUUAGAUACCCCGGUAGUC
This 443-nucleotide ribosomal RNA is filed under the name uncultured bacterium. RNAcentral describes it as "partial 16S ribosomal RNA". It matches the Rfam family "Bacterial small subunit ribosomal RNA", at positions 338 to 795 of the family's 1533-position model. The record is from RNAcentral.